Odocoileus virginianus texanus is the source of this 619-nucleotide non-coding RNA. The record is from RefSeq and is a predicted model, not a curated record. Lineage: Eukaryota; Metazoa; Chordata; Mammalia; Artiodactyla; Cervidae.
UUUUUUGCCAUGCCACGUGGCUUGCAAGAUCGUAGUUCUCUGACCACGGAUUGAAACUGGGCCUUUGGCAGUGAAAGAAGAGCCUUAACCACUGGACCAUCAGGGAAUUCAAGACAUUAUCACUCUUAAGACUCAUGUCACGUGAAAACUUGUUCUCCUCCUGGGGGAAGAAGAAAUGAAUCUGGACUCUUCCAGGAAAAAUGUCAGCUGUUGGUCUGUUGUCUGAACCUCUCACCAGGUACAGGCCUGUCUCGGUGCCCUUCUCCAAGCUGGUGUCCAGCCUCUGCGUGGCCAUUCCCUCUGAUGGAGGAGGCCCUGGGAACUACCCACGCCUGGACACCCUGGGCCUGGGAGCUCACCCAAAUCAGAAGAAUGGAGAGGGCAUUAUGAAAGAGUCAGACCUGAAGAGUAAGACCUCCCUCAGGUGACAGAGCUGGAGCCAGAGCUGGUGGCAGGAUUCUGACUUUGAAGAGGAUGAGACACAUUGGGAUGAGAAGGCUGAAUGGCCUCUCAGUCUGAGUUGAAAGGAGGUGAAUUUCAACCCUUUUCCCACAUGGUGGGCUUGGGAGCAUGGGGCCCACCGCUAGUGUUCUUUCUUACCCAAGGGAAUGCAGACCUG